This 465-nucleotide ribosomal RNA is filed under the name Vreelandella stevensii. RNAcentral describes it as "partial 16S ribosomal RNA". It matches the Rfam family "Bacterial small subunit ribosomal RNA", at positions 338 to 795 of the family's 1533-position model. The record is from RNAcentral. Lineage: Bacteria; Pseudomonadati; Pseudomonadota; Gammaproteobacteria; Oceanospirillales; Halomonadaceae.
CCUACGGGGGGCUGCAGUGGGGAAUAUUGGACAAUGGGGGCAACCCUGAUCCAGCCAUGCCGCGUGUGUGAAGAAGGCCCUCGGGUUGUAAAGCACUUUCAGUGAGGAAGAACGCCUGGUGGUUAAUACCCAUCAGGAAAGACAUCACUCACAGAAGAAGCACCGGCUAACUCCGUGCCAGCAGCCGCGGUAAUACGGAGGGUGCGAGCGUUAAUCGGAAUUACUGGGCGUAAAGCGCGCGUAGGUGGCUUGAUAAGCCGGUUGUGAAAGCCCCGGGAUCAACCUGGGAACGGCAUCCGGAACUGUCAAGCUAGAGUGCAGGAGAGGAAGGUAGAAUUCCCGGUGUAGCGGUGAAAUGCGUAGAGAUCGGGAGGAAUACCAGUGGCGAAGGCGGCCUUCUGGACUGACACUGACACUGAGGUGCGAAAGCGUGGGUAGCAAACAGGAUUAGAUACCCUUGUAGUC